RNAcentral lists this ribosomal RNA (253 nucleotides) under uncultured bacterium. RNAcentral describes it as "partial 16S ribosomal RNA". It matches the Rfam family "Bacterial small subunit ribosomal RNA", at positions 524 to 776 of the family's 1533-position model. The record is from RNAcentral.
UACGUAGGGCGCAAGCGUUAUCCGGAAUUAUUGGGCGUAAAGAGCUCGUAGGCGGUUUGUCGCGUCUGCCGUGAAAGUCCGGGGCUCAACUCCGGAUCUGCGGUGGGUACGGGCAGGCUAGAGUGAUGUAGGGGAGACUGGAAUUCCUGGUGUAGCGGUGAAAUGCGCAGAUAUCAGGAGGAACACCGAUGGCGAAGGCAGGUCUCUGGACAUUAACUGACGCUGAGGAGCGAAAGCAUGGGGAGCGAACAGG